GAAAAAUCACAUUUGAGAAGAGGAUUGGAUCCUAGCCAUAACAUAAAUAUAAGGGUGGAACCAAAGUUUUAAUCAAAGAAGGUGAUGUUCAGUUGCUGCUUACGAUAGUUGAUACCCCAGGAUUUGGAGAUGCAGUGGAUAAUAGUAAUUGCUGGCAGCCUGUUAUCAAUUACAUUGAUAGUAAAUUUGAGGACUACCUAAAUGCAGAAUCACGAGUGAACAGAUGUCAGAUGCCUGGUAACAGGGUGCAGUGUUGUUUAUACUUCAUUGCUCCUUCAGGACAUGGACCAUUACAUAACUGAAGACUCCCACCUUCAGGCAGGAUUGGGUAGUACGUGUUUGUAACUACCUGGCAUUGCCUUUUGUUGAGGAAGGGUAGAUGUCUACCCAAAUGGAAUAUUGAGUAUCAGAGACUUCAAAUGAUAACUUUUGUUUGUUUGGAGAAAAUCUUGAGGACGUGAUCACUGUACAAAAGCAUGGCAAAAUGAGGAAACCACUGACAGGUGAAGAAUUUGCACAAUGGAAAACCACCUUGACCAUCUCAUGACUUUAUACAGGAAUCGGAGUGAGUUGGACUAUGGAUCAGGUACUGUGCUCAGCAUCAGAAAAUGGGAUGACAAUGAACAGAGUAACACGACUAUAUUUCUGAAAAAGGAUGAACUUACUGGAAACAGGAUUGCGUGCCUGAAAUAGACCCAAAUGGAUAUAAAUGUCAACUCAGUUCUGGGCUGGAGAUAUAGAUUUGGAAUGCACCAACAAUGCAGAUGGUAAUCCUGGCAUGCGAGUAGGGAAUCAGUUGUCCUUUGUCAUUCAGAAUGGGAUCACCACAAAUGUCACUUAUCAACAGGAAAAGCUGAAAUGCCUCAAUAAAUUAAUAAUCUGUC
RNAcentral lists this long non-coding RNA (884 nucleotides) under Pan troglodytes (chimpanzee). RNAcentral's name for it is "long non-coding RNA NONPTRT012678". The record is from RNAcentral. Lineage: Eukaryota; Metazoa; Chordata; Mammalia; Primates; Hominidae.